Triticum aestivum (bread wheat) is the source of this 135-nucleotide non-coding RNA. The record is from Rfam. NCBI's taxonomy places the organism in Eukaryota, Viridiplantae, Streptophyta, Magnoliopsida, Poales, Poaceae.
GAAAUACUCCCUCCGUCCCAAAAUUCUUAUCUUAAAUUUAUCUAGAUACGGGUGUAUCUAAUACUAAAAUGUGACUUGAUACAUCCGUAUUUAGAUAAAUCUAAGACAAGAAUUUUGAGACGGAGGUAGUAUAAG